Molecule: ribosomal RNA, 252 nt
Filed under: uncultured bacterium
Lineage: Bacteria
Description: partial 16S ribosomal RNA
Rfam family: Bacterial small subunit ribosomal RNA
Source: RNAcentral
UACGCAGGGGGCAAGCGUUGUCCGGAUUUAUUGGGCGUAAAGAGCGUGUAGGCGGCUUGGUAGGUCUCGCGUCAAAACCUGAGGCUCAACCUCAGUUCGCGUGGGAAACCACCUAGCUAGAGUCCGGAAGAGGAGAACGGAAUUCCCAGUGUAGCGGUGAAAUGCGCAGAUAUUGGGAAGAACACCAGUGGCGAAGGCGGUUCUCUGGGACGGUACUGACGCUGAGACGCGAAAGCGUGGGGAGCGAACAGG